This is a long non-coding RNA of Lepidothrix coronata (blue-crowned manakin), 1253 nucleotides long. RefSeq lists it as uncharacterized. The transcript is spliced from 5 exons. The record is from RefSeq and is a predicted model, not a curated record. Lineage: Eukaryota; Metazoa; Chordata; Aves; Passeriformes; Pipridae.
AGUGGGCGGGGACGACACCGGGGAGUGUUUGAGCGCGGUGUCUGUGUCAGUGUCCUCGACACAGUCUGCUGGGAGGCAGUGCCUCCGCGGAGAUGGCGGGGGCUGGCGAGUUGCGCCGGUCUCGGUGACCGGAGGGCGGCUGCCUCCCGCGCCCCUCGGGUGCGCGCGCGCGCGCCUGUUCCUCCCCUCAGGAGCUCCGGGGGGGGUCACGAGUCGGCGCGAGGCUCUGCUGAGGGAGGUUGUGUUUGCCGGUUGCAGCCAAGCCGGAAUAACCUCACUGAUUUUUGUUUUCAAACAUUCCGUCUAAGCCUUCGGCGUACAAGGAACUCGAAUGUCUGUACUAUCGUCAGGAUUUAUAACUCCCCCCCCACUUCCCGCCGCGCUCCCCUCAGAAGUUCCCUCUAAGCCUUCAGUGUACAAGGAACCUGAGUAUCUAUACUAUCGCUAGUGUUAAAGCUUCUCGCACUUCCCGCCGCCCCCCUCAGGCGCUUUCAGCCGCAAAGGAAAACUGAAGAGGGUCGUUGAAAGCCUCAGUUCCCAAGGUGUAUUUCUGUGGCGAUUUGAACAAACCCAGCCCUGUAGUGCUUCCGCUUCUUCCCCGUUCAUUUUUCCCAACUCGCGGCCGAGGGAAAGGUGUUUCUAGACCGCAGCAAAAUGCAGAUGACUUGACUGUGAAAAUUUUUGCUGCUUCCCAAAGCAAAAUUUUAUGAGCUCCAGUUUUAUCAGUGCUCCAUGCUCUUCCUUCAGCACAUUAUCUAUCUUAUGUGGAGCUGCAGGUAAAUCAUACUCUAAUGACUUGAGGAAAAAAAAAGAGACAAGUUGUUAUAAAAUGAAAUUACGUGUUCUAUGUUCUCCCAUUUUUGUCAAAACACUUUUCUCUUGUUUAGUGAUGAAUACUGUCAAUAUACUGCAGGAAAAGUAAGUCAUUGAUCAAAUAUUUAGAAACCUGUCAAAAAAGAGAAAAUUAUUCUAUACCUGAGGAUCUGAUAUUUUUCCAAACAUCUUCAUCUUUAUGUAGAUUAUUGCUGUUCAUAACCCAUGGAAAUAAAAUCCUGAGACCACUGAAAUAAAGUUAUAUAUGGGGUUGUUAAUAAGGUACUGGCCUUUAUUUUACUCUCACUGAAAUUCCAGGUCUCUGCUUUAACUGAUGUAAAAGCCGAAAAGGUAAAUCUCAUAACUGAGGACACAGGAAGAAAUGAUAAUUCCGAUGCUGUGCAUUAUAGGCUUGAAUAUUCAGUUGAGAUCAUCUUAAU